AGAUGCUGCAUGGAAGUCGUCAGCUGUGUGUGAGAUGUUGGGUUAAGUCCCGCAACGAGCGCAACCCUCGCCUUUAGUUGACAUCAUUCAGUGGGACACUAUAAGGAGACUGCCGGUGAUAAGCCGAGAGGAAGGUGGGGAAGACGUCAAGUCCUCAUGGCCCUUAGGGGCUGGGCUACACACGUGUUACAAGGGUGGUGACAGUGGGCAGCGAGACCGCGAGGUCGAGCUAAUCUCCAAAAGCCAUCUCAGUUCGGAUUGCACUCUGCAACUCGAGUGCAUGAAGUUGGAAUCGCUAGUAAUCGCGGAUCAGCAUGCCGCGGUGAAUACGUUCCCGGGCCUUGUACACACCGCCCGUCACACCAGGGGAGUUGGUUUUACCCGAAGGCGCUGUGCUAACCGCAAGGAGGGA
RNAcentral lists this ribosomal RNA (412 nucleotides) under Mesorhizobium sp. RNAcentral describes it as "bacterial SSU rRNA". It matches the Rfam family "Bacterial small subunit ribosomal RNA", at positions 1036 to 1451 of the family's 1533-position model. The record is from RNAcentral. Lineage: Bacteria; Pseudomonadati; Pseudomonadota; Alphaproteobacteria; Hyphomicrobiales; Phyllobacteriaceae.